GUGCUCGCUUCAGCAGCACAUAUACUACAAUUGGAAUGAUACAGAAAAGAUUAGCAUGGCCCCUGUGCAAGGAUGACACGCAAAUUCGUGAAGCGUUCCAUAUUU
RNAcentral lists this small nuclear RNA (105 nucleotides) under Cervus elaphus hippelaphus. The record is from RNAcentral. Lineage: Eukaryota; Metazoa; Chordata; Mammalia; Artiodactyla; Cervidae.